This is a long non-coding RNA of Uranotaenia lowii, 1171 nucleotides long. RefSeq lists it as uncharacterized. The record is from RefSeq and is a predicted model, not a curated record. The transcript has 3 exons. Lineage: Eukaryota; Metazoa; Arthropoda; Insecta; Diptera; Culicidae.
AGUGAAACGAAAAGCUUUUGGUGGCGGUUGUAGUUCACCGCAAAUAAUUUUAAUUUUCAAUUCAAUGGCAGAAAUCGUCGGAAGUAAUUGAAUCUGGUUUCAUAUCGCUUGUUAAACAUUUUUUUGCUCAAAGAUUUAUUUUGAGCUUCUUCAUCUGUGCAUCGAAAAUGUUGGGGCCAUCCGCUCGGAACGUAAAAGAAAAUUAGCUACGAAAUCCGGAGGCAUCAUUUUAGAAGUUGGCCGAGAUAUCUGUUCGGAAUCGGAAGAAGCUGUCAACAGUACUGAAGACCGGAAAAAUUAAAAUAAAGAGAUGGGAUCUGCGCUAUGGCUCAAGGUUUCGAAGGGCCAUCACCGGUGGAUUGCAGGCAAACUUACCAUCAGCGUUUUUAAUAUCAAGACGUCUUCUGUUCUUUAUCGGGAGGUAGAAGCAGAUUUAUAAAAAAAUUAGGAUCGGAAGAUAGCUAAUUGAGCGUCUGAGAACUGGCCGUGGUAAGAAGCACAACCGACACCGUCGCGAUGAUCAUUUACUCCGGGAGCUGAAAACGAAAAGAUUUUGCGACGAAAUUUAUGCUCGUGAAACAUAGAAGGAAUAAUACAGGCAGGUUUAGAAGAUCUAGAAUAUUUGACAUACUUUAUUGUUGCUUUCAAAAUUACAUAUUAUUUUAAGGCAAAAACACAUCUGAUUCCCUUCUGUGAUAUGAUAGCCAUCCAAGACACAAUUCACUGGAGGCGGGUAGCGGCUGAAAACUUGUAUUAAUACUAGUAUGUAAGGUUAAAUUAACUUCACUAUACGGAAAUAUGACCCCGGAAAGAAAAUUCCUAGAAAUCAAAAAGACUUCUCACACCCGGCACAGAUGGAAGCCGUUAUUUCAGGAUAACCAAGAAACGAGCUACAGUUUGCACGUCUAUCAGGGUGCACUAUGCGCCCUGGAUUACGUUUCACAUAAAGAUUUUCUCCUGCACAGUCGUUUAAUUCCUCGGUAGAAGAAACAUUACCGCUGGUUGCUAUACGAGAUGCAUGAGGGAUAACAACCAAGGAAAUUCUAAUGACUGUUAUCCCGUUCUACAUGAGUUGCCGCGAGACGCCGGAUUCUUGCGUCUUGGUUAACUAAUUGGUACGUAUUUGGAAUUCAAUUCUGAUGAACAACUUAUUAGUAUUUUUUUAACUUUU